GUUUGGUUAGGAUUUGUCUAAGAUUUGAUUAAGACUUAUUUAGGAUUUAUUAGAAUUUGACUAGGAUUGUUUAGGAUUUGGUUAAGAUUUGUUUAUGAUUUGAUUAGGAUUUAUCUAGGAUUUGUUUAGGAUUUGGUUAGGAAUUAUUUAGGAUUUGUCUAGAAUUUGUUUAGAAUUUAGUUAGGACUUAUUUAGAAUUUGUCUACAAUUUGACUAGAGUUGUUUAGGAUUUGGUUAGGAUUUAUUUAGGGUUUGUUUAGAAUUUGGUUAAGGCUUAUUUGGAAUUUUUCUAGAGUUUGAUUAGAGUUGUUUAGGACUUGCUUAAGAUUUAUUUAAGAUUUGAUUAGGAUUUGUCUAAGAUUUAUUUAGGAUUUGAUUAGGAUUUGUCUAGAAUUUGUUUAGGAUUUGAUUAGAGCUUGUUUAAGAUUUAUCUAGAAUUUAUUUAAGAUUUGAUUAAGAUUUGAUUAAGGUUUGAUUAAGAUUUUAUUAGGAUUUAAUUAAGAUUUUUAUUUUCAUAUUUUUAUUUAUAUAUACAUAUAUGUAUGUAUAUUUUUUUUAAAUUUCUAUGUUAUUUCUUUAUAAUUUCUUUGAAGGAUCUCUAAGAAUUCUUU
Molecule: long non-coding RNA, 611 nt
Filed under: Physcomitrium patens
Lineage: Eukaryota; Viridiplantae; Streptophyta; Bryopsida; Funariales; Funariaceae
Description: long non-coding RNA (PPAT_LNC008446)
Source: RNAcentral